CGGGGGGAGCAAGCGUUGUUCGGAUUUACUGGGCGUAAAGGGCGCGUAGGCGGCCACCGCAAGUCAGUUGUGAAAUCUCUGGGCUUAACCCAGAAAGGUCAACUGAUACUGCGGGGCUAGAGUGCAGAAGGGGCAACUGGAAUUCUCGGUGUAGCGGUGAAAUGCGUAGAUAUCGAGAGGAACACCUGCGGCGAAGGCGGGUUGCUGGGCUGACACUGACGCUGAAGCGCGAAAGCUAGGGGAGCGAACGGGAUUAGAUACCCCGGUAGUCCUAGCCUUAAACGAUGAAUGCUUGGUGUCUGGGGUUUUAUAGUCCCCGGGUGCCGUUGCUAACGCUUUAAGCAUUCCGCCUGGGGAGUACGGUCGCAAGACUG
RNAcentral lists this ribosomal RNA (374 nucleotides) under uncultured organism. RNAcentral describes it as "bacterial SSU rRNA". It matches the Rfam family "Bacterial small subunit ribosomal RNA", at positions 526 to 896 of the family's 1533-position model. The record is from RNAcentral.